This 1370-nucleotide ribosomal RNA is filed under the name uncultured bacterium. RNAcentral's name for it is "16S ribosomal RNA". It matches the Rfam family "Bacterial small subunit ribosomal RNA", at positions 28 to 1378 of the family's 1533-position model. The record is from RNAcentral.
GAUGAACACUGGCGGCGUGCCUAAUACAUGCAAGUCGAGCGAACGGACGAGAAGCUUGCUUCUCUGAUGUUAGCGGCGGACGGGUGAGUAACACGUGGAUAACCUACCUAUAAGACUGGGAUAACUUCGGGAAACCGGAGCUAAUACCGGAUAAUAUUUUGAACCGCAUGGUUCAAAAGUGAAAGACGGUCUUGCUGUCACUUAUAGAUGGAUCCGCGCUGCAUUAGCUAGUUGGUAAGGUAACGGCUUACCAAGGCAACGAUGCAUAGCCGACCUGAGAGGGUGAUCGGCCACACUGGAACUGAGACACGGUCCAGACUCCUACGGGAGGCAGCAGUAGGGAAUCUUCCGCAAUGGGCGAAAGCCUGACGGAGCAACGCCGCGUGAGUGAUGAAGGUCUUCGGAUCGUAAAACUCUGUUAUUAGGGAAGAACAUAUAUGUAAGUAACUGUGCACAUCUUGACGGUACCUAAUCAGAAAGCCACGGCUAACUACGUGCCAGCAGCCGCGGUAAUACGUAGGUGGCAAGCGUUUAUCCGGAAUUAUUGGGCGUAAAGCGCGCGUAGGCGGUUUUUUAAGUCUGAUGUGAAAGCCCACGGCUCAACCGUGGAGGGUCAUUGGAAACUGGAAAACUUGAGUGCAGAAGAGGAAAGUGGAAUUCCAUGUGUAGCGGUGAAAUGCGCAGAGAUAUGGAGGAACACCAGUGGCGAAGGCGACUUUCUGGUCUGUAACUGACGCUGAUGUGCGAAAGCGUGGGGAUCAAACAGGAUUAGAUACCCUGGUAGUCCACGCCGUAAACGAUGAGUGCUAAGUGUUAGGGGGUUUCCGCCCCUUAGUGCUGCAGCUAACGCAUUAAGCACUCCGCCUGGGGAGUACGACCGCAAGGUUGAAACUCAAAGGAAUUGACGGGGACCCGCACAAGCGGUGGAGCAUGUGGUUUAAUUCGAAGCAACGCGAAGAACCUUACCAAAUCUUGACAUCCUUUGACAACUCUAGAGAUAGAGCUUUCCCCUUCGGGGGACAAAGUGACAGGUGGUGCAUGGUUGUCGUCAGCUCGUGUCGUGAGAUGUUGGGUUAAGUCCCGCAACGAGCGCAACCCUUAAGCUUAGUUGCCAUCAUUAAGUUGGGCACUCUAAGUUGACUGCCGGUGACAAACCGGAGGAAGGUGGGGAUGACGUCAAAUCAUCAUGCCCCUUAUGAUUUGGGCUACACACGUGCUACAAUGGACAAUACAAAGGGCAGCGAAACCGCGAGGUCAAGCAAAUCCCAUAAAGUUGUUCUCAGUUCGGAUUGUAGUCUGCAACUCGACUACAUGAAGCUGGAAUCGCUAGUAAUCGUAGAUCAGCAUGCUACGGUGAAUACGUUCCCGGG